AGUGAACGCUGGCGGUAGGCCUAACACAUGCAAGUCGAACGGCAGCACAGUAAGAGCUUGCUCUUACGGGUGGCGAGUGGCGGACGUGUGAGGAAUACAUCGGAAUCUACUUUUUCGUGGGGGAUAACGUAGGGAAACUUACGCUAAUACCUCAUACGACCUACGGGUGAAAGCAGGGGAUCUUCGGACCUUGCGCGAUUGAAUGAGCCGAUGUCGGAUUAGCUAGUUGGCGGGGUAAAGGCCCACCAAGGCGACGAUCCGUAGCUGGUCUGAGAGGAUGAUCAGCCACACUGGAACUGAGCCACGGUCCAGACUCCUACGGGAGGCAGCAGUGGGGAAUAUUGGACAAUGGGCGCAAGCCUGAUCCAGCCAUACCGCGUGGGUGAAGAAGGCCUUCGGGUUGUAAAGCCCUUUUGUUGGGAAAGAAAAGCAGCAGGUUAAUACCCCGCUGUUCUGACGGUACCCAAAGAAUAAGCACCGGCUAACUUCGUG
RNAcentral lists this ribosomal RNA (492 nucleotides) under uncultured bacterium. RNAcentral describes it as "partial 16S ribosomal RNA". It matches the Rfam family "Bacterial small subunit ribosomal RNA", at positions 29 to 507 of the family's 1533-position model. The record is from RNAcentral.